This 95-nucleotide Y RNA is filed under the name Propithecus coquereli (Coquerel's sifaka). RNAcentral describes it as "Y RNA (ENSPCOG00000007407.1)". It matches the Rfam family "Y RNA". From Rfam's summary of the family: Y RNAs are components of the Ro ribonucleoprotein particle (Ro RNP), in association with Ro60 and La proteins. The record is from RNAcentral. Lineage: Eukaryota; Metazoa; Chordata; Mammalia; Primates; Indriidae.
GGCUAGUCUGAUGGUAGUGGGUUAUCAGAACUUAUUAACAUUAGUGUCACUGAACUUGGUAUUCAACCCCCAUUGCUAAAUUUGACUGGAUAAAA